This 253-nucleotide ribosomal RNA is filed under the name uncultured bacterium. RNAcentral describes it as "partial 16S ribosomal RNA". It matches the Rfam family "Bacterial small subunit ribosomal RNA", at positions 524 to 776 of the family's 1533-position model. The record is from RNAcentral.
UACAGAGGGGGCAAGCGUUGUUCGGAAUUACUGGGCGUAAAGGGCGCGUAGGCGGCCUGUUAAGUCGAACGUGAAAUCCCCGGGCUCAACCCGGGAACUGCGUCCGAUACUGGCAGGCUUGAAUCCGGGAGAGGGAUGCGGAAUUCCAGGUGUAGCGGUGAAAUGCGUAGAUAUCUGGAGGAACACCGGUGGCGAAGGCGGCAUCCUGGACCGGCAUUGACGCUGAGGUGCGAAAGCCAGGGGAGCAAACGGG